This 301-nucleotide ribosomal RNA is filed under the name uncultured bacterium. RNAcentral describes it as "partial 16S ribosomal RNA". It matches the Rfam family "Bacterial small subunit ribosomal RNA", at positions 509 to 807 of the family's 1533-position model. The record is from RNAcentral.
CAGUAGCCGCGGUAAUACAGAGGGUGCAAGCGUUAAUCGGAAUUACUGGGCGUAAAGCGCGCGUAGGUGGUUUGUUAAGUUGUAUGUGAAAGCCCCGGGCUCAACCUGGGAACUGCAUCCAAAACUGGCAAGCUAGAGUACGGUAGAGGGUGGUGGAAUUUCCUGUGUAGCGGUGAAAUGCGUAGAUAUAGGAAGGAACACCAGUGGCGAAGGCGACCACCUGGACUGAUACUGACACUGAGGUGCGAAAGCGUGGGGAGCAAACAGGAUUAGAUACCCCGGUAGUCCCUGUCUCUUAUAC